This is a long non-coding RNA of Arabidopsis lyrata subsp. lyrata, 275 nucleotides long. RefSeq lists it as uncharacterized. The record is from RefSeq and is a predicted model, not a curated record. The transcript has 2 exons. Lineage: Eukaryota; Viridiplantae; Streptophyta; Magnoliopsida; Brassicales; Brassicaceae.
GUGGUACGAUGUAGGCAUUCCGAAUUUUUGUCAGAGUGAGGCUCAAUCUGUUUCAAUUUUUGCUCAGUUUUUGUUAAACGAGCGAUCAGAUUUUAGCCAAUUUGAUUCCAAAGGAAGAGCUCAUGAAAACGGGCAAUUAACUGAAUUGAUGGAUCAUCAUCAUCAUCAUCAUCCUGUCUGGGGUAAAAUGGACAGCUAUGCAGUGGGAAAGGAGAAGAGGAAGCAACUGCUUCUGAUUCUUUGCCAACAUGAAUCUGAUAGGCUUGAUGUUUGGG